UCUAGAGAAAAGGUUCCGUAGAAAUGGU
RNAcentral lists this non-coding RNA (28 nucleotides) under Bombyx mori (domestic silkworm). The record is from RNAcentral. Lineage: Eukaryota; Metazoa; Arthropoda; Insecta; Lepidoptera; Bombycidae.